UCAGCUUGGAAAUCGGGGCCUCUGGCCUUGAAUUGUAGUCUCGAGACGUACCGCCAACGGAGGCGCAGAUGUAAGCCUCUUGGAAAAGAGCAUCAACGAGGGUGAGAGUCCCGUUCGUCAUCUGCAGUCCCCCGUGUACGGUGUGCGCUCUAAGAGUCGCGUUCCUCGGGAUUGGAGCGUAAAGUGGGUGGUAAAUUUCAUCUAAAGCUAAAUAUUGGUUCGAGACCGAUAGCAAACAAGUACCAUGAGGGAAAGGUGAAAAGGACUUUGAAAAGAGAGUUAAAAGUGCCUGAAAUUGCUGAAAGGAAAGCGAAUGGAACCAGUCUUCUUGGCGAGAUUGUUGUGGGCUUCCGCCUACAGUGUUUCUUGCCUUGAUUGUCAACGUCAGUUCACGGUCGAGGAAAACUCCUGGUGAAUGGUAACCUGCCCCAGGGUGGGUGAACGCGCUGGGCAGAACUCAUCCGCGGACUGAUUCCUGCGUGGCGGGUUUCAGUGUCUUGUGUCCCUGGUGCCGCCUUCGGGUUGUGUGCUAGGCGACCAGGGCGUCUUCCCGUCACAAAGACGAUGACCAAAUGGUUCUCUUCGACCCGUCUUGAAACACGGACCAAGGAGUCUAACAUAUGUGCGAGUUCACGGGCGGGUAAACCUGCUUGCGCAAUGAAAGUGACUGCUGGGAUAUUUGCACCAGCAACCGACCGAUCAAUUGAGUGAGGUUUGAGUAUGAGCAUAUCUGUUAGGACCCGAAAG
RNAcentral lists this ribosomal RNA (747 nucleotides) under Peridiniella sp. Its description in RNAcentral is "eukaryotic LSU rRNA". It matches the Rfam family "Eukaryotic large subunit ribosomal RNA", at positions 109 to 822 of the family's 3401-position model. The record is from RNAcentral. Lineage: Eukaryota; Dinophyceae; Peridiniales.